AUGGGAUUACAUAUUUUUUAAUUAUUAUUAUUUUUUUAGGUGAGGGAGCUACUGUUUUCCUCUGAUCCUCCCAGACACUCGUGAGCACAGGGUGAGGUACCUCCAAAGCUCCAAACAAGGGCGGUAGUCAAGAAGUAACUUAUAUGAAAUACAAAAUCCAGGAGGCAAGAGACAGUGGGAGACUUGGUCUCACCUUGAAGGCCAGCUGUGUGGGGAAGUCCUGAUCCCCUCCUGACGGCAUCAUCACCAGGCCAAGCCCCAGGGAACCGGUUCUGGUGUACAGUGAUGGAAGUGCAGACAACGAUGAUGUCCCAUCUCCGGUCAGGAUUCACAAGUGCUGGGGAGCCUGCUGUACAAUUGAUUUUUCUGUGGGUCACACUCCGCACACAGUGCUGGCGCUCUGUUAUCUCACUGUCAGAUGAGUAUAUUAACAUCCGCCUUAACAACUCAGGAGGCUGGGACAAUGGAUGCAAAAGUUCUAGGUCAAAUACAGAGCCCUGUACAUGUAUAAGGUCUUAUGCCACACUCCAUUUUUGGAGGCAAAUUUCAAGUUACUGGCCCGUGCCUGGACAAUUGGCAAGCCAGCUAGGAGUCCAAGGAAAUGGUGAGUGGCGUGAGGCAUCUGCAGGGGAAAUCCUGGGCUGGCCAGCGACAUCCAUGCAGGGAGGUCUGGCCCAUAUGCUUUUCCGUGGGGGAAAUCCCGUGUUGGCCAGAGUACAGGGACACCCAGGAAAUGCCAAGUGGCAUAGCCCAGUUGUGGGCAGACACGCAUCUUCAUAAGUGUAGAAAAGAAGCUAGGAGUGCAGUAGCGGCUGUGGGAUGGCCACCAAAGCCUACCAAGCUGCUUAAGUGCACAUAAGAGCUUUGCAGGAAGAGUUGCAGUUGGAAAGGGAUGUGUGGCAGUUGUGUGUGGCCAUGACUGAUGUAUUGAGCAUCCACAUCUGAGAACAGGAUAAGCAACUAGAAAUGCUCUCCUGCAGGUUUGUAAUGAUGGGAAAUUCAAGGGCUAGGGGAACAAUUCCCUAGCCAUUGCUCAAAGUGCUCUAACAAGCGCUCCAGAGAUAGCUGGAGGGGCUAAGCAGGUCCCUGGCACUGAGAACACCCUGUAAGGCCUAGUGCAAAGCAGGAGUUAAAACAGAAGAAACAACCAAAAAAAGGAGUAAAAAGCUUGUGUUGAGCAACCUUGAAAAGACCUUAGAGGCCGUCUCUGGAAUUCUCUGAUAACUGCCUCUGCCAAGGUAAUUGAACAGCAACACAGUCACAGCUGCAAUAGUAAGGGGAAAACUAAAAUAGGAGGGCCCUAUUUUAGGGCUACUGGGUUACUGAACCAAUGCUUGCACUUGGUAUGGUGGACACAUGGCUCCACAAAUGACUGAGGGCUCUGCCAACUUUGCCCAAAUCUUCUGACUUUCAGAAAUAAUUAAGACCAAGGAUUAAGCCUAGGUCCCUCUGUCACCGGGGAAAACCAAAGGCCUUAUGUUACAAUUGAAGUUCAAUGAGGAAAUGAAAAGAAUUGUAUAUCUUGGGUUUUUAGAUACCAUUGCACAUGUGACUUGUGAUCUCUUUUACACUUGAAAAUGAGGAAAGCUUUUGGGUCUGAGGUCACCAUUAUUGAGAUCCUUGCCCAAGCCUAACUAUGGAUAAGUCCCUAAUAGGGAUUUCUAUUAUAUGCAUUGAUGAUGUCAAUAUAUUAAGUUAUACCUUUGUAAACUUUUGCCUCCAAGCCCUGAUGGGAAUUACUGCAGUUAAGGCCGUUUUUAGUGGGGCACACCGAAGCUGUGACAUGGGCAAUAGCUAAUAGCCUGACCAUUCAGUCUGGCCACUGACAAUCCUCAGACUGACAUCUGGAAAAAAAAAGUCAGUUCUGUUCCUGAUAAGCUUUUGUUACUUGCGUGGAUGGUCACCAGAAAGGCCCCUAUGUUGAGAGGGGAAAACAACCAAAACAGCUCUUGCCAAUGGGCUGCAGAGGCUGAAGGAUCCUCUGCUCCAGAGCAACCAACCACCUCCUGGAUUUAAGAGAGGAUGACCCAUGAAGAUUCACACACCAUUCUAGACUGGGCCCACACACACGGACUGCCACCAUCAUCAGAAAACACUGGACAGCACAGAAAAUCUGACCUGCCUAUGAGACCAUGACCAAGGCUAAAACCCGCCCAGGAACAGAUUCCUGAGCCAACAGGCCAGGGCAUUCUCAGCAGAUAAAUCAUAUCGGGGCCUCUUACCCUAUACAAAGGCUUCCACUGGAUCUUGAAUGAACUCUUCACGCUGUACAUCACCCCCAAGCCAUAGGGGCAAUUGAGCACUGUAGUGGACAGGCUUAAACAGCUGAUAGGAGGGGACAAGACAGCCCCAGCAUGCACUUUACAUCUCAGGCAAGCAGUAUGGGGUCUCAAUGCAGCAGUUCCCUGCAAGGGCAUUUCUUAUUUGAUCAAACUGUUCUAUAAAAUGUGUUUGUUUGUAUACAACUGUUACUGACAAAAGGUCACUGCCUCAAGAUUAGGACAGACAGCCUGGGUGGCUAUACCUGGACAACCCUCACCGAAAGUUCCACGGAAGACAGGUGAGUGGAAGGGGGGGAUUGUUAAUGUUGUUUCUUUUUGUUCCGAGAUUAUCUCACAAUGAUGGACAGGCCCCUUAUCCAUGGGUCCCAAUGACACGGGCUUUUGCUAGAGCUACCAAUCAGACCAAAUGUUGGCUCUGCAAUAUUUGAACUGGGUCAUCUCCCUCUGUUGUUCCAGCUGAUCUGUCAAUAAGGAGGAUGCCUAGCGGACCAAAUGAAUGUGUAACCUGGUGUAAAUGUGUAACCUGUGGUAAAUGAAUACGGUCGACACCACUACUUGCGGAAAACAUCUUUAGAAGUAUGAAAGCUGCCUGUGGGGAGUGCUCCAACUUUAGAAGGAAAUUUCUCUCCGUGUGUUAAAAAUGUGAAAAGCACAGGACUAGAUGGUUUGACUCUGAGAAUGGUACUUUUAAGACUGAGUUUGAUAUUACUCAUGGAAGACUUGCAGAAUAUGACCAGAUGGUCCAAUGUACAUUGACUGACUACACCAAGGCUGAAUUAGCCUGGUCUGGUAAUGAUAAUACCUUGUUCAAUUGUGCUGAGAAAGGGAGCUUUUGUAUUACUGGUGCUGGAAUGUCUAAUGUUUAUAUAAUAUACCAUGUUGGGAGAAAGAUGCUGUUUUUGCAUAAAUGAUUGAGGGAAUGUUUCACAUAGAUAAGACUGGACAAAUACAGCCCUUUGAUAUAUUCGGUUGGCUUGGAUUAAGCUACAGCUGGGGUGGCUGGUUGGGAUCUCUCCUCCCAGCAGGCCUGAUCAAUCUUCUGGGGGCCAUCCUACUAGGAACCCUCAUUAAAUGCUGCCUCAAUGAUGCACGGAGGUAACAUCUUAUGCACCAAACCACAGAUGUGCAGUUCAACAUCCAAAAUGGGUGAUGGACAUACCAGGACUUGGUUUGUUUUUUGGAACCCUGAUGGGAGUCGGGGAUGGACUGUUGGGGGAGUGAUCUGCCUCUAUGCCUCCUAUCCAGGCUGCCUAAGUAAAGGCCUUGGGCCCAUAGCAUUCUCUGAAGAGGAGGCUGGGGAUUGAGUCACCUUCUCUCCUGGUUCCUUCUUAUCAGAGAAGCCUUCCUCCUGCUCUGGGCACAUAGUAACUUUAUCUCUUUCACAUGUGUGAGCACCACACGGUACCCAGUGUGGGGGGAACGGGGUCUCUCGUACUACGGCACAAGACAGAAAAUGUGCCACAUUCUAAGAGCUGGCAUCGAGAGGUGGACUGAAAGGGAAGCAGGCUUUGCAAGGCCAAACAUGGGCACUCUCGCGUGGUCUGAUAGUUCACUACAGUUUGCAUUCUUAUCUAAGCCCCUGGCAUGGAGCCACUAUUUUUCAACCACCUCUGCCCUCCCACCGUGGGGUGCGGAGAUCUGCUUUGGUCCAGCAGGUGUCCAGUAAUAAACUUCUUCACUGCCACACUGGAGUUGCCCACCCCUUUCUUUGGUCCCUCGGUGCCCUCCACUUUUGGAGGCAAAUUUCAAGUUAUUGGCCCAUGCCUGGACACACAGAAACACACACACAUACAAAAUUGCCAUUAAGUCAAUUCCAACUUAUGGUGAUUCCAUGUGUGCAGAGGAGAACUGUGUUUCAUAGGGUUUUAUUUAUUUUUUAAAUACUAUUUUAUAGUGUUUUAGGUGAAGGUUUACACAGCAAUUUAGGUUCCCAUUCAACAAUUUCUACACACAAGUUUUUCAGUGACACUGGUUACAUUCUUCACAAUGCAGGGACAUUCUCAUUAUUUUCAUCCUGGUUAUUUCAUUGCCAGUAAUCUAGCUUCCCUGGCCCCUCACAUUCUCACCUUUGUUCUAAAGUAAUUGUUGAGCAUUUGGUCUCAUAUAGGUGAUUUUUUAAAGGAGCACAGCACUUAUGGGUGAAAUUCAUUAUUUUUUGAGCCAAUUUGUUAUUUAGCUAUAAGGUGAUGUUAGGGGUUAAUUUCGGUUCAAGGUUUAAAGAGUAUCUCGGGGCAAUAGUUUUGGGGAGUCUUCCAGUCUCAACUUGUCCAGUAGUUCUAUUUUUUUGUUUUUUUAGGAAUUUGAGGUUCUGUUGCACAUUUUCUUGGCAUAGACGAGUGAGCACUUCCAGUGCUGCACCUGUUUGUUGAAACAUCUCAAUUAGUAUGCCAUCAGUUCCUGGAGCCUUGUUCUUUUGCUUAUGCCUUCAGUGCACCUUGGACUUCUUCAGCAUCAUUGGUUCCUGAUCACAUGCUGCCUCCUGAAAUGGUUGAACGUUGACCAAUUCUUUUCAGUAUAGUGACUCUGUGUAUUCCUUCCAUUUUUUUUUUUUUGACGCUUCCUGCAACAUUCAAUAUUUUUCCUGGAGAAUCUUUCAAUAUUGCAACUUGAG
Loxodonta africana (African savanna elephant) is the source of this 4893-nucleotide long non-coding RNA. RefSeq lists it as uncharacterized. The transcript has 3 exons. NCBI's taxonomy places the organism in Eukaryota, Metazoa, Chordata, Mammalia, Proboscidea, Elephantidae. The record is from RefSeq and is a predicted model, not a curated record.